AUGGGCUCGGGGCGUGGCCGAACACACAGGCAAGGCUCUCCAUCUUGCCGGUGUAGUAGCCCGAGCCAGACGACCAGACCUAACCACGCGACGCGAGUUCCAGACCUCCAGGGAGCCGAGGCUGCCGCCGCCGCCCGCCGGCGACUCCCCUGCAGUCCCCUGCUCGGCUGCUCCCCUCCCCUGACUCCGGCGCUCCCAUCCAGUCCCCUGCAGGCUGCAGCCCUGCUCGCCUGGCUCGCCUGCUCUGCUUCUCCAGCCGGGCGCGGGGCGCCGCGCGCCGGCUCUGCUCCGGCCCUGCUCCAUCCUCCAGUCCUGCCGGCCUCUCCCGCCUCCCGGUCUCCCCCGCGCAACUGCUGCCCCGACUGCAGCCGAGAAAUAAAAGAUGAAUAG
RNAcentral lists this ribosomal RNA (390 nucleotides) under Triticum aestivum (bread wheat). RNAcentral describes it as "partial small subunit ribosomal RNA". Lineage: Eukaryota; Viridiplantae; Streptophyta; Magnoliopsida; Poales; Poaceae. The record is from RNAcentral.